GAGACUCCAUCACCCAACCCCCCCCCCCACAAAAAAAGUCUGGCACGUCUCUGAGCCAGUGACCACAGAAGAGCAGAAAUCCAGGGAGAACAAGGGAUUGACCUGGGUAGUACUGAGCUGGAAGGUAAAAACAAUGAACAAAAAGAAGUUCAGAUUCCUUACUCAGGAGUGACAGUGUCAACAGGAAACAUCUGCCAAACCAGGAGGACCAGCUAGAAGCUGGUGUCCCAGGAGUGAUAGAUUGUCUCUGAUCCUGCCUUGCUGCCUCAUGUAAAUGCCCUGAGCGAAGUGUCAGACAAGAGAAUGGAUGAGUCCACCACCAUUUAUAAAAUCUAAACUAACCUAGAGCCCCUGUGGCUCACUGGAUGGACGUUGCAGGUACGAAGUAAAACAGCAAACCUGCAAAAGUAUGUGAAUUUACACAAUGGCUGUUUAGCGUUAGACGGGGAAGGUGGUAUGAAGACAUGGCAGGCCUCUGUACACAGCAGGACAAUGCACCAAGGAAAUUGAACUACUAUGUGUGAAUUCUUUCUCCUGGGACUCAUGGUGAGGUCUAAAGAGCAGCAGUUUAUCUUCACGCUGUUUCUAUGCACGUAUCUGGUGACUAUGAGUCUGAAGGUCCAAAAGAACAUUACCUAUACUGCAAGUCAUCUGGAAGUUUACCUCAAGAGGGACAGGGAUUGAAAACGCUGUCCAAAAGAAGGAAAGAAAAUAACUUGAAAAUAAAUACAGAUGUGGAAAAAACUAAAAGAGUAUGAGGAAUCAAAUGAAAAUUUCAGUUCAAAGUAAUAUACUUACGUAUUAAACAUUUUUUAAAAUAAGAAA
Callithrix jacchus (white-tufted-ear marmoset) is the source of this 825-nucleotide long non-coding RNA. RefSeq lists it as uncharacterized. NCBI's taxonomy places the organism in Eukaryota, Metazoa, Chordata, Mammalia, Primates, Cebidae. The record is from RefSeq and is a predicted model, not a curated record.